RNAcentral lists this ribosomal RNA (458 nucleotides) under uncultured bacterium. RNAcentral describes it as "bacterial SSU rRNA". It matches the Rfam family "Bacterial small subunit ribosomal RNA", at positions 340 to 786 of the family's 1533-position model. The record is from RNAcentral.
UACGGAAGGCAGCAGUGGGGAAUAUUGCACAAUGGGCGCAAGCCUGAUGCAGCCAUGCCGCGUGUAUGAAGAAGGCCUUCGGGUUGUAAAGUACUUUCAGCGGGGAGGAAGGCGAUGUGGUUAAUAACCGCGUCGAUUGACGUUACCCGCAGAAGAAGCACCGGCUAACUCCGUGCCAGCAGCCGCGGUAAUACGGAGGGUGCAAGCGUUAAUCGGAAUUACUGGGCGUAAAGCGCACGCAGACGGUCUGUUAAGUCAGAUGUGAAAUCCCCGGGCUUAACCUGGGAACUGCAUUUUGAAACUGGCAGGCUUGAGUCUCGUAGAGGGGGUAGAAUUCCAGGUGUAGCGGUGAAAUGCGUAGAGAUCUGGAGGAAUACCGGUGGCGAAAGGCGGCCCCUGGGACGAAGACUGACGCUCAGGGUGCGAAAGCGUGGGGAGCAAAACAGGGAUUAGAUACC